CUUCUCCUCUCUUUGGCAGCCCCCCAGCCCCGGGGUCGGCGUGCUCGACCCCCCCACACCCCGCCCUCCGCGCCCCCAGACGGCAGCAGGCGGCCGGCAUUCCGGAGCAGCGCGUCCGCAACUUCGCGCCCAGGCGCCCGCGCCUCGCAGCCCGGCGGGCGGGAGACAAAAGCUGCGGCGCCGCCAGAGGCCGCGCGGCCAAGCCCCAUCAGCUCCUGCCUAAUCCUGCUCCCCGUUUCCUGGACCUUCUGUUGGCCAACCUGGGAAGACAGCUCAUUAACUGACUGCAAAGGAAAUGCCCUCUGGUUCAAAGCAGCUCCCUGUCAAGAAUUCAUUCAUUCAUUCCUUCAGCAAGCAAGCAAUGUUCAGGACCACCCCUGUGCCACAAUGUGGGCUAGGCACCAGGAAUAUAAAGGGAAAAGAUUCAGAUGAGACAGUCAUGUAAAAAAAAAUAGAACCACAACUGUGUGAGAGGGGCUGUAACAAGACAGAGGCAAGUUUUGAACCCAAAGGUAGGAGUGACUGACUUCAGACAUUUAUUCAACCAAUACUUUAGCAUGUCGUAAGUGCUAGGCUCUGUGCUGGGCAUUGGGGAUACACAGGCGAACUGAUGGGCUUGGUGCCCACUUCCCUGGAGCUGACAGGCUGGUGGACAGGAUGGGUACUGACUGGUGUGAUGUGAGUUAAUCAGGAGACACUGGGGGUAGGGUGGGGAUGGUGAAUAGCAAGGGCUCUUAAUCUAUUCUGGGGAGUCCAGAAAGGCUUCUCUGAGGAAAUGAGAUCUACGUGGAGGCCUGAAGGAUGAAAAAGAGGUGAAGAUGUGCUGGGAGGGGCACCGGAAGAAUUCUGGGCAGAAGGAACUUGUAGAAAAGCCCUUGAUCUGCUGGUAAGAGGCCCUGUAGAAGGCAGGUAAACGUCCACCGUGCAGAGAGGGAGGUGGGUCUGAAGACUCAGACCCUACAGGCUCAUGUUCUGGAAAAGGCUCACUUGUGUGUUGUUUAUCAUUCUAGGCCAACCCCACACCCUACCCCCAUUUUACUUCCAGUCACUGUCUGCUGCAGUGACUGGUAUGCCUGCUAAAGACAACGCUGAAAUAAAGAACAUAGGUGGUGAUAA
This is a long non-coding RNA of Orcinus orca (killer whale), 1116 nucleotides long. RefSeq lists it as uncharacterized. The record is from RefSeq and is a predicted model, not a curated record. The transcript is spliced from 2 exons. Lineage: Eukaryota; Metazoa; Chordata; Mammalia; Artiodactyla; Delphinidae.